CUACGUGCCAGCAGCCGCGGUCAUACGUAGGAUCCGAGCGUUAUCCGGAGUGACUGGGCGUAAAGAGUUGCGUAGGUGGUUCGAUAAGCGAAUAGUGAAAUCUGGUGGCUCAACCAUUCAGACUAUUAUUCGAACUGUUGAACUCGAGAGCAGAAGAGGUAGCUGGAAUUUCUAGUGUAGGAGUGAAAUCCGUAGAUAUUAGAAGGAACACCGAUGGCGUAGGCAGGCUACUGGGCUGUUUCUGACACUGAGGCACGAAAGCGUGGGGAGCGAACCGGAUUAGAUACCCGGGUAGUCCACGCCGUAAACGAUGGAUACUAGCUGUUUGGGGUAUCGACCCCCUGAGUAGCGAAGCUAACGCGUUAAGUAUCCCGCCUGUGGAGUACGAUCGCAAGAUUAAAACAUAAAGGAAUUGACGGGGACCCGCACAAGCGGUGAAUCAUGUUCUUUAAUUCGAUGAUAACCGAUAAACCUUACCAGGUCUUGACA
This 489-nucleotide ribosomal RNA is filed under the name uncultured bacterium. RNAcentral's name for it is "bacterial SSU rRNA". It matches the Rfam family "Bacterial small subunit ribosomal RNA", at positions 501 to 986 of the family's 1533-position model. The record is from RNAcentral.